Molecule: ribosomal RNA, 515 nt
Filed under: uncultured fungus
Lineage: Eukaryota; Fungi
Description: eukaryotic LSU rRNA
Rfam family: 5.8S ribosomal RNA (bases 174-327)
Source: RNAcentral
CGGGAUCAUUAAAGAGACCGUUGCCCUUCGGGGUAUACCUCCCACCCUUGUUUAUACAUACCUUGUUGCUUUGGCAGCCCGGCUUCGGCCCACCGGCUCCGGCUGGUCCGCGUCUGCCAGAGGAAACCCAAACUCUGUUUGUUAAUAUUGUCUGAGUACUAUAUAAUAGUUAAAACUUUCAACAACGGAUCUCUUGGUUCUGGCAUCGAUGAAGAACGCAGCGAAAUGCGAUAAGUAAUGUGAAUUGCAGAAUUCAGUGAAUCAUCGAAUCUUUGAACGCACAUUGCGCUCCCUGGUAUUCCGGGGAGCAUGCCUGUUCGAGCGUCAUUACAACCCUCAAGCUCUGCUUGGUAUUGGGCCUCGCCGGUUCCGGCGGGCCUUAAAAUCAGUGGCGGUGCCAUUCGGCUUCAAGCGUAGUAAUUCUUCUCGCUUCGGAGACCCGGGUGUGUGCUUGCCAGCAACCCCCAAUUUUUCAGGUUGACCUCGGAUCAGGUAGGGAUACCCGCUGAACUUAA